This 301-nucleotide ribosomal RNA is filed under the name uncultured bacterium. RNAcentral's name for it is "partial 16S ribosomal RNA". It matches the Rfam family "Bacterial small subunit ribosomal RNA", at positions 509 to 809 of the family's 1533-position model. The record is from RNAcentral.
CAGUAGCCGCGGGAAUACGUAGGGUGCGAGCGUUAAUCGGAAUUACUGGGCGUAAAGCGUGCGCAGGCGGUUAUAUAAGACAGAUGUGAAAUCCUCGGGCUCAACCUGGGACCUGCAUUUGUGACUGUAUAGCUAGAGUACGGUAGAGGGGGAUGGAAUUCCGCGUGUAGCAGUGAAAUGCGUAGAUAUGCGGAGGAACACCGAUGGCGAAGGCAAUCCCCUGGACCUGUACUGACGCUCAUGCACGAAAGCGUGGGGAGCAAACAGGAUUAGAUACCCCAGUAGUCCCUGUCUCUUAUUC